AUGAGAGUUUGAUCCUGGCUCAGGACGAACGCUGGCGGCGUGCUUAACACAUGCAAGUCGAACGGAAAGGCCCUGCUUUUGUGGGGUGCUCGAGUGGCGAACGGGUGAGUAACACGUGAGUAACCUGCCCUUGACUUUGGGAUAACUUCAGGAAACUGGGGCUAAUACCGGAUAGGAGCUCCUGCUGCAUGGUGGGGGUUGGAAAGUUUCGGCGGUUGGGGAUGGACUCGCGGCUUAUCAGCUUGUUGGUGGGGUAGUGGCUUACCAAGGCUUUGACGGGUAGCCGGCCUGAGAGGG
This 297-nucleotide ribosomal RNA is filed under the name Leptocylindrus danicus. Its description in RNAcentral is "partial Bacterial small subunit ribosomal RNA". It matches the Rfam family "Bacterial small subunit ribosomal RNA", at positions 1 to 300 of the family's 1533-position model. The record is from RNAcentral. Lineage: Eukaryota; Bacillariophyta; Leptocylindrophyceae; Leptocylindrales; Leptocylindraceae.